RNAcentral lists this non-coding RNA (503 nucleotides) under Balearica regulorum gibbericeps (East African grey crowned-crane). RNAcentral's name for it is "Balearica pavonina gibbericeps Eukaryotic large subunit ribosomal RNA". It matches the Rfam family "Eukaryotic large subunit ribosomal RNA", at positions 1252 to 1636 of the family's 3401-position model. Lineage: Eukaryota; Metazoa; Chordata; Aves; Gruiformes; Gruidae. The record is from Rfam by way of RNAcentral.
CCAUGGAAGUCGGAAUCCGCUAAGGAGUGUGCAAUAACUCACCUGCCAAAUCAACCAGCCCUGAAAAUGGAUGGCGCUGGAGCGUUGGGCCCAUACCCAGCCGUCGCCAGCAGUGCGAGGCCCGCAGGGGCUAGGCCGCAACAAGUAGGAGGGCCGCUGCGGUGUGCCUUGAAGCCUGGGGUGCGGGCCCGGGUGGAGCCACCGCAGGUGCAGAUCUUGGUGGUAGUAGCAAAUAUUCAAACAAGAGCUUUGAAGGCUGAAGUGGAGCGGGGUUCCAUGUGAACAGCAGUUGAACAUGAGUCAGUCGGUCCUAAGCGACAGGUGAGCGCCAUUCCGGAAGGGCAGGCGAUGGCCUCCAUUGCCCUCAGCCAAUCGAAAGGGAGUCAGGUUCAGAGCAGUGUGCCCGGGUGGCCAAGAAGGCCAACAGCAUCCUGGCUUGUAUCAGGAAUAGUGUGGCCAGCAGGACCAGGGCAGUGACUGUCCCCCUGUACUCAGCUCUGGUG